RNAcentral lists this ribosomal RNA (331 nucleotides) under uncultured bacterium. Its description in RNAcentral is "bacterial SSU rRNA". It matches the Rfam family "Bacterial small subunit ribosomal RNA", at positions 567 to 898 of the family's 1533-position model. The record is from RNAcentral.
CCGCGUAGGUGGUAGUGCAAGUCUGGGGUGGAAUCUUAGGGCUUAACCCUAAAACUGCCUUGGAAACUGCAUUACUUGAGUCAGUGAGGGGAGGGUAGAAUUCCUGGUGUAGCGGUGAAAUGCGUAGAUAUCAGGAGGAAGGCCUGUGGCGAAGGCGGCCCUCUGGCGCUGAACUGACACUGAGGCGCGAAAGCGUGGGUAGCAAACAGGAUUAGAUACCCUGGUAGUCCACGCCCUAAACGGUGGGUACUAGGUGUAGGGCUCGUAAGGGUUCUGUGCCGAAGGGAAACCAUUAAGUACCCCGCCUGGGGAGUACGGCCGCAAGGUUGAA